AUUGAACGCUGGCGGCAUGCCUUACACAUGCAAGUCGAACGGCAGCCCGGACUUCGGUCUGGUGGCGAGUGGCGAACGGGUGAGUAAUAUAUCGGAACAUACCUUGUAGUGGGGGAUAACUAUCCGAAAGGAUAGCUAAUACCGCAUACGCUCUAAGGAGGAAAGUGGGGGAUCGCAAGACCUCAUGCUAUAAGAGUGGCCGAUAUCUGAUUAGCUAGUUGGUGAGGUAAAGGCUCACCAAGGCGACGAUCAGUAGCUGGUCUGAGAGGACGACCAGCCACACUGGAACUGAUACACGGUCCAGACUCCUACGGGAGGCAGCAGUGGGGAAUUUUGGACAAUGGGGGCAACCCUGAUCCAGCAAUGCCGCGUGAGUGAAGAAGGCCUUCGGGUUGUAAAGCUCUUUUGUCAGGGAAGAAACGGUUGUGGCUAAUAUCCAUGGCUAAUGACGGUACCUGAAGAAUAAGCACCGGCUAACUACGUGCCAGCCGCCGCCGUAA
This 500-nucleotide ribosomal RNA is filed under the name uncultured bacterium. RNAcentral describes it as "partial 16S ribosomal RNA". It matches the Rfam family "Bacterial small subunit ribosomal RNA", at positions 30 to 523 of the family's 1533-position model. The record is from RNAcentral.